RNAcentral lists this transfer RNA (69 nucleotides) under Rattus norvegicus (Norway rat). It matches the Rfam family "tRNA". Rfam says of the family: Transfer RNA (tRNA) molecules are approximately 80 nucleotides in length. Their secondary structure includes four short double-helical elements and three loops (D, anti-codon, and T loops). Further hydrogen bonds mediate the characteristic L-shaped molecular structure. tRNAs have two regions of fundamental functional importance: the anti-codon, which is responsible for specific mRNA codon recognition, and the 3' end, to which the tRNAs corresponding amino acid is attached (by aminoacyl-tRNA synthetases). tRNAs cope with the degeneracy of the genetic code in two manners: having more than one tRNA (with a specific anti-codon) for a particular amino acid; and 'wobble' base-pairing, i.e. permitting non-standard base-pairing at the 3rd anti-codon position. The record is from Rfam by way of RNAcentral. Lineage: Eukaryota; Metazoa; Chordata; Mammalia; Rodentia; Muridae.
GGGGAUUUAGCUCAGUGGUAGGGCGCUUGCCUAGCAAGCACAAGGCCCUGGGUUCGGUCCCCAGCUCUG